GAUGAACGCUGGCGGCGUGCCUAAUACAUGCAAGUCGAGCGAACAGACGAGGAGCUUGCUCCUCUGACGUUAGCGGCGGACGGGUGAGUAACACGUGGAUAACCUACCUAUAAGACUGGGAUAACUUCGGGAAACCGGAGCUAAUACCGGAUAAUAUAUUGAACCGCAUGGUUCAAUAGUGAAAGACGGUUUUGCUGUCACUUAUAGAUGGAUCCGCGCCGCAUUAGCUAGUUGGUAAGGUAACGGCGUACCAAGGCAACGAUGCGUAGCCGACCUGAGAGGGUGAUCGGCCACACUGGAACUGAGACACGGUCCAGACUCCUACGGGAGGCAGCAGUAGGGAAUCUUCCGCAAUGGGCGAAAGCCUGACGGAGCAACGCCGAGUGAGUGAUGAAGGCCUUCGGAUCGUAAAACUCUGUUAUUAGGGAAGAACAAAUGUGUAAGUAACUAUGCACGUCUUGACGGUACCUAAUCAGAAAGCCACGGCUAACUACGUG
Molecule: ribosomal RNA, 497 nt
Filed under: uncultured bacterium
Lineage: Bacteria
Description: partial 16S ribosomal RNA
Rfam family: Bacterial small subunit ribosomal RNA
Source: RNAcentral